Molecule: ribosomal RNA, 253 nt
Filed under: uncultured bacterium
Lineage: Bacteria
Description: partial 16S ribosomal RNA
Rfam family: Bacterial small subunit ribosomal RNA
Source: RNAcentral
UACGGGGGGAGCGAGCGUUGUUCGGAUUCAUUGGGCGUAAAGGGCGCGUAGGCGGCCUCGUAAGUCCGACGUGAAAUGUACCGGUUCAACCGGGGCGCUGUGUCGGAAACUGCCUGGCUUGAGGUCGAGGGAGGAAGGUGGAAUUCCUGGUGUAGCGGUGAAAUGCGUAGAUAUCAGGAGGAACACCCGUGGCGAAGGCGGCCUUCUAUCUCGAUCCUGACGCUGAGGCGCGAAAGCCAGGGGAGCAAACGGG